GGACUACAAGGGUUUCUAAUCCUGUUUGCUCCCCACGCUGUCGCGCCUCAGUGUCAGCAACUGCCCAGCUAACCGCCUUCGCCACCGGUGUUCUUCCGGAUCUCUACGCAUUCCACCGCUACACCCGGAAUUCCAUUAGCCUCUACAGUGCUCCAGCCUCGCAGUAUCAAGGGCCGACUCGGCGUUGAGCGCCGAGCUUUCACCAUCGACUUGCGACGCCACCUACGCGCCCUUUACGCCCAGUGAUUCCGGACAACGCUCGCACCCUCUGUAUUACCGCGGCUGCUGGCAC
Molecule: ribosomal RNA, 292 nt
Filed under: uncultured bacterium
Lineage: Bacteria
Description: partial 16S ribosomal RNA
Source: RNAcentral